RNAcentral lists this ribosomal RNA (795 nucleotides) under uncultured bacterium. RNAcentral's name for it is "bacterial SSU rRNA". It matches the Rfam family "Bacterial small subunit ribosomal RNA", at positions 8 to 796 of the family's 1533-position model. The record is from RNAcentral.
AGAGUUUGAUCCUGGCUCAGAUUGAACGCUGGCGGUAUGCUUAACACAUGCAAGUCGAACGGCAGCACAGUGUGUAGCAAUACAUAUGGGUGGCGAGUGGCGGACGGGUGAGUAACGCGUAGGAAUCUGCCUUGAAGCGGGGGACAACCCGAGGAAACUCGGGCUAAUACCGCAUAAUCUCGCGAGAGAAAAGCUGGGGCAACCUGGCACUUCAAGAGGAGCCUGCGUCCGAUUAGCUAGUUGGUGAGGUAAAGGCUCACCAAGGCGAUGAUCGGUAACUGGUCUGAGAGGAUGACCAGUCACACUGGGACUGAGACACGGCCCAGACUCCUACGGGAGGCAGCAGUGGGGAAUAUUGGACAAUGGGGGCAACCCUGAUCCAGCAAUACCGCGUGUGUGAAGAAGGCCUUCGGGUUGUAAAGCACUUUAGUUGGGGAGGAAGCUGCGUAUUUUAAGAGAUAACGUAGUUGACUGUACCCAAAGAAUAAGCACCGGCUAACUCUGUGCCAGCAGCCGCGGUAAUACAGAGGGUGCGAGCGUUAAUCGGAAUUACUGGGCGUAAAGGGCGCGUAGGCGGGUAAUUAAGUUAGAUGUGAAAUCCCUGGGCUUAACCUAGGAACUGCAUCUAAUACUGGUUAUCUAGAGUGCAGUAGAGGAUAGUGGAAUUUCCGGUGUAGCGGUGAAAUGCGUAGAUAUCGGAAGGAACACCAGUGGCGAAGGCGGCUAUCUGGACUGACACUGACGCUGAGGCGCGAAAGCGUGGGGAUCAAACAGGAUUAGAUACCCUGGUAGUCG